RNAcentral lists this ribosomal RNA (304 nucleotides) under uncultured bacterium. Its description in RNAcentral is "partial 16S ribosomal RNA". It matches the Rfam family "Bacterial small subunit ribosomal RNA", at positions 506 to 807 of the family's 1533-position model. The record is from RNAcentral.
CAGCAGUAGCCGCGGGAAUACGUAGGGUGCGAGCGUUAAUCGGAAUUACUGGGCGUAAAGCGCACGUAGGCGGAUCGAUCAGUCAGGGGUGAAAUCCCAGAGCUCAACUCUGGAACUGCCUUUGAUACUGUCGAUCUGGAGUAUGGAAGAGGUGAGUGGAAUUCCGAGUGUAGAGGUGAAAUUCGUAGAUAUUCGGAGGAACACCAGUGGCGAAGGCGGCUCACUGGUCCAUUACCGACGCUGAGGCGCGAAAGCGUGGGGAGCAAACAGGAUUAGAUACCCCCGUAGUCCCUGUCUCUUAUAC